UGAGGGGAUAUUGGUCAAUGGGGGAAACCCUGAACCAGCAACGCCGCGUGAGGGAUGACGGCCUCGGGUUGUAAACCUCGUCCUCUGUGAAGAUAAUGACGGUAGCAGAGGAGGAAGCUCCGGCUAACUACGUGCCAGCAGCCGCGGUAAUACGUAGGGAGCAAGCGUUGUCCGGAUUUACUGGGUGUAAAGGGUGCGUAGGCGGUUUGGUAAGUCAGAAGUGAAAUCCAUGGGCUUAACCCAUGAACUGCUUUGAACUAUCGAACUUGAGUGAAGUAGAGGUAGGCGGAAUUCCCGGUGUAGCGGUGAAAUGCGUAGAGAUCGGGAGGAACACCAGUGGCGAAGGCGGCCUACUGGGCUUUAACUGACGCUGAGGCACGAAAGCAUGGGUAGCAAACAGGAUUAGAUACCC
Molecule: ribosomal RNA, 412 nt
Filed under: uncultured bacterium
Lineage: Bacteria
Description: bacterial SSU rRNA
Rfam family: Bacterial small subunit ribosomal RNA
Source: RNAcentral